Cordylochernes scorpioides is the source of this 73-nucleotide non-coding RNA. The record is from the annotation of a GenBank genome assembly. NCBI's taxonomy places the organism in Eukaryota, Metazoa, Arthropoda, Arachnida, Pseudoscorpiones, Chernetidae.
UCCAGGGUAGCCUAGUGGACAUGGCAUCUGCCCGGUAAGCGGAACAUUGUGGGUUCGAUUCCCAUCCCUGAAC